UACGGAGGGUGCAAGCGUUAUCCGGAUUCACUGGGUUAAAGGGUGUGUAGGCGGGCUGUUAAGUCAGUGGUGAAAUCUCCGGGCUCAACCUGGGAACUGCGUUUGUGACUGUAUGACUAGAGUACGGUAGAGAGGGGUGGAAUUCCUGGGUGUAGCAGUGAAAUGCGUGAGAUAUCAGGAGGAACAUCGAUGGCGAAGGCAGCCCCUUGGACCUGUACUGACGCUCAUGGCACGAAAGCGUGGGGAGCAAACAGG
This 255-nucleotide ribosomal RNA is filed under the name uncultured bacterium. RNAcentral describes it as "partial 16S ribosomal RNA". It matches the Rfam family "Bacterial small subunit ribosomal RNA", at positions 524 to 776 of the family's 1533-position model. The record is from RNAcentral.